GACGAACGCUGGCGGCGUGCUUAACACAUGCAAGUCGAACGGAAAGGCCCUGCUUUUGUGGGGUGCUCGAGUGGCGAACGGGGGAGUAACACGUGAGUAACCUGCCCUUGACUUUGGGAUAACUUCAGGAAACUGGGGCUAAUACCGGAUAGGAGCUCCUGCUGCAUGGUGGGGGUUGGAAAGUUUCGGCGGUUGGGGAUGGACGCGCGGCUUAUCAGCUUGUUGGUGGGGUAGUGGCUUACCAAGGCUUUGACGGGUAGCCGGCCUGAGAGGGUGACCGGCCACAUUGGGACUGAGAUACGGCCCAGACUCCUACGGGAGGCAGCAGUGGGGAAUAUUGCACAAUGGGCGGAAGCCUGAUGCAGCAACGCCGCGUGCGGGAUGACGGCCUUCGGGUUGUAAACCGCUUUCGCCUGUGACGAAGCGUGAGUGACGGUAAUGGGUAAAGAAGCACCGGCUAACUACGUG
Molecule: ribosomal RNA, 468 nt
Filed under: uncultured bacterium
Lineage: Bacteria
Description: partial 16S ribosomal RNA
Rfam family: Bacterial small subunit ribosomal RNA
Source: RNAcentral